Molecule: unclassified non-coding RNA, 382 nt
Filed under: Hevea brasiliensis (rubber tree)
Lineage: Eukaryota; Viridiplantae; Streptophyta; Magnoliopsida; Malpighiales; Euphorbiaceae
Source: RNAcentral
GUCUCUCUCUCUCGGCUUUUUUGGCUGGUCAUUUCAUAUUCAAAUGAAAAACUGAACUUCUGCGAAUGCAAGUUUUUUACUUGACGCGAAUUGUCUGUUUUACCAUUAUGCGGGGUUAAUUUGGCUUCAUCACAGGUGGAAUUGUGUUGGUUUUGUAAAUUUGCAAUUUUUUUUUUUGUUUUAAUUUCCUUUUUUUUCGUAUUGAAGAUGCACACGCUGUGCUUAUGGUUCAUUAGAAAGUAGGAAAUGCAUCUAAAUUUGUGUUUAUGAUUGUUGAAUUGUCAGUUUUGCCCGCCUCUGUUUCUAAUUGAUCGGUUUUAUUACGAUCAUGGGUUUGGUCUGUGUUUCGAACUCAUGCUUUAUUUUUAUUUUUAUUUUUAUU